This 59-nucleotide transfer RNA is filed under the name Loxodonta africana (African savanna elephant). The record is from Rfam by way of RNAcentral. Lineage: Eukaryota; Metazoa; Chordata; Mammalia; Proboscidea; Elephantidae.
AGCAGUUAAGCGCUUGGCUGCUAACCUAAAGGUCAGUGGUUUGAACCCACUAACUGCUC